RNAcentral lists this long non-coding RNA (243 nucleotides) under Elaeis guineensis (African oil palm). RNAcentral's name for it is "long non-coding RNA (EGUI_LNC067750)". Lineage: Eukaryota; Viridiplantae; Streptophyta; Magnoliopsida; Arecales; Arecaceae. The record is from RNAcentral.
UCAUUUAUAAAUAGAGAGGGUCUCUACCUAUAGAUGCAUAGCAAAUAAAUCAGAUUGAGAGAAGAGAAAGAGAGAGAGAGAGGCAUGAGAAGAGAAAGAGGACCCUUCUUCUCAUCCUUGGAGUCUCCCCUUGGUGCCACCCCUUUCUCCUUGGUAUGGGGCCCUUCUUGGGCAUCCCCUUUGCUAGUGUGAGGUGUCAUUUCAGCAUCUCUUCUCUCUCAUUUGAUUGGAUUGUGAAGAUGA